UCUGGUGGCGAUGGCACGGUGGGCACACCUGGUCCCAUCCCGAACCCAGCAGUUAAGCACCGUAGUGGCGAAGGUAUCCCCGGAAGGGGCGAGAAUAGCGCGCUGCCGGGC
This 111-nucleotide ribosomal RNA is filed under the name Bacilli bacterium. The record is from RNAcentral. RNAcentral also lists the same sequence under 1 other name. Lineage: Bacteria; Bacillati; Bacillota; Bacilli.